RNAcentral lists this ribosomal RNA (253 nucleotides) under uncultured bacterium. Its description in RNAcentral is "partial 16S ribosomal RNA". It matches the Rfam family "Bacterial small subunit ribosomal RNA", at positions 524 to 776 of the family's 1533-position model. The record is from RNAcentral.
UACGUAGGGUGCGAGCGUUAAUCGGAAUUCCUGGGCGUAAAGCGUGCGCAGGCGGUUCGUUGUGUCGGUGGUGAAAUCCCCGGGCUUAACCUGGGAAUGGCCAUGGAAACUGGCGAACUGGAGUGCGGCAGAGGGGGGUGGAAUUCCGCGUGUAGCAGUGAAAUGCGUAGAGAUGCGGAGGAACACCGAUGGCGAAGGCAGCCCCCUGGGCUAGCACUGACGCUCAGGCACGAAAGCGUGGGGAGCAAACAGG